Camellia sinensis is the source of this 1269-nucleotide non-coding RNA. The record is from RefSeq and is a predicted model, not a curated record. NCBI's taxonomy places the organism in Eukaryota, Viridiplantae, Streptophyta, Magnoliopsida, Ericales, Theaceae.
UAUAUAUAAAUAAAGGUUGCUCACAUGUAAUCUGGUAGUAGAUCAAUUUUUCUUGACAAGUUUACUUCAACAUUUCGUACUCGCAGGGAAGAAAACUCAGGCUUUGAACAAUUGGGUUAGGAUUCAUCAGGACCAAGAAAAUUUGUUUCUUUUUUCGAGUUUUUGGAACUUUGAGUUCUUAUAAAACCAUUCUUCAUCAAAUCGGUUUCAUUGUUUUAUUGGGUUGGGACUCAAACGGAGAGAGAACCAUGCCUCCUCAGUCUUCAGGUUUACUUGGAACUUUGGAAAUUUUGAUGGCAUGAGUGGAGUCGGGAAAAAAAUAAAUUAAGUAUUCAUGGGUUGGUUAUGAUGGUGAUCAAGCAUCUUAACAAUCAAAGUGAAUUGGUGAAUGUCAAAGCAGACCAUGAAAAACUACGUGAAGAUUAUGACAAACUUUCGGCUGAAAAUGAAGAAUUGAAGAAGUAGCUAAAUAACUCAAAGUGAAAAAUCAACUGUACCAAUUCAUACGAAGCAACCAUGAACUGUGAUAUGCCAACGUUUUGUCAUCUUCUUCCAAUUAAUGAUAAUGUUCAUUAUUGGUAUAAGUUUGCAUCGGAGCACAAAAGCUCCCAUUUGCUUAGCAUAUUGGGGAAGGCCCAUGUAGGGGAUGAUCAAAUAAUACUAUUUUCUCAACCCGUGGACCAAAACUUUGAAGAUUGGAUGCAACACAAUCUUCUCAUCAACCUCGACAAUCAUUUGACACCUUCUUUUAGGGCCUUUUUAUUGGGUAUGUUGAAAGGGAUAAAUUACCUUCAUAGUAAACUAAAGCAUGCACAUGGCGAAAUAUGCGGAGAAAACAUUUAUGUCAUUGAUGGGAGGGCAAAAUUUGUUGAUGUGGUGGAUAUUAAUUUAAAAAAAUCUUAUGUUGAUGAUAUCAAUCGCUUUUGCAAAAUGGUAGAAUCACCAUUCAAGGCCAAAAACAUCCCGCUUCCAUUAGAGUUAGAGUAUCUUCUUUCAAGCUUGAAAAAACUAAAUGGGUGUUGGUGAUAUGCCUCUGCAAAGGCAAUAGUUUGGGAAAAAUCGGAGCUGAAGGCUUCUUUUUUGUGUAUUAUGUCAUUGUUUUAAUUCAAGCUAAGGGCUUUACAUGUAUUGUAUUUAUAUUCGCUUUUGUUGCAACCAAUCAUGGUCUUGGAAAGAUGUAAGCCUAUAGGAUAUUUAUUUUUGUUAAACCUUUUUGUACCAUUAGCUCUCACGAAAUGAAAGAAUAUUAUACUCUGAUUCAUAUUGUUA